UACAGAGGUCCCGAGCGUUGUUCGGAUUCAUUGGGCGUAAAGGGUGCGUAGGUGGCGCUGUAAGUGGGGUGUGAAAUCCCGGGGCUUAACCCCGGGACUGCAUUCCAUACUGCGGUGCUUGAGGACUGGAGAGGAGACUGGAAUUUACGGUGUAGCAGUGAAAUGCGUAGAGAUCGUAAGGAAGACCAGUGGCGAAGGCGGGUCUCUGGACAGUUCCUGACACUGAGGCACGAAGGCCAGGGGAGCAAACAGG
Molecule: ribosomal RNA, 253 nt
Filed under: uncultured bacterium
Lineage: Bacteria
Description: partial 16S ribosomal RNA
Rfam family: Bacterial small subunit ribosomal RNA
Source: RNAcentral